Molecule: ribosomal RNA, 301 nt
Filed under: uncultured bacterium
Lineage: Bacteria
Description: partial 16S ribosomal RNA
Rfam family: Bacterial small subunit ribosomal RNA
Source: RNAcentral
CAGUAGCCGCGGUAAUACGGAGGGGGCUAGCGUUGUUCGGAAUUACUGGGCGUAAAGCGCACGUAGGCGGCUUUGUAAGUUAGAGGUGAAAGCCCGGGGCUCAACCCCGGAAUUGCCUUUAAGACUGCAUCGCUUGAACGUCGGAGAGGUGAGUGGAAUUCCGAGUGUAGAGGUGAAAUUCGUAGAUAUUCGGAAGAACACCAGUGGCGAAGGCGGCUCACUGGACGACUGUUGACGCUGAGGUGCGAAAGCGUGGGGAGCAAACAGGAUUAGAUACCCGUGUAGUCCCUGUCUCUUAUAC